This 2915-nucleotide ribosomal RNA is filed under the name Vibrio parahaemolyticus. RNAcentral describes it as "23S ribosomal RNA". It matches the Rfam family "Bacterial large subunit ribosomal RNA". Lineage: Bacteria; Pseudomonadati; Pseudomonadota; Gammaproteobacteria; Vibrionales; Vibrionaceae. The record is from RNAcentral.
GUUGUAUGGUUAAGUGACUAAGCGUACACGGUGGAUGCCUUGGCAGUCAGAGGCGAUGAAAGACGUAGUAACUUGCGAUAAGCCCAGAUUAGGUAGUAACAACCAUUUGAGUCUGGGAUUUCUGAAUGGGGAAACCCACGUGCAUAAGCACGUAUCCUUACCUGAAUACAUAGGGUAAGGAGGCGAACCGGGGGAACUGAAACAUCUAAGUACCCCGAGGAAAAGAAAUCAACCGAGAUUCCGAAAGUAGCGGCGAGCGAAAUUGGACUAGCCCUUAAGCUUUACACGCGUUAGACGAACGGUCUGGAAAGUCCGACGAUACAGGGUGAUAGUCCCGUAGUUGACGACGUGUGUUCAGUGAAAUCGAGUAGGGCGGGACACGUGAUAUCCUGUCUGAAUAUGGGGGGACCAUCCUCCAAGGCUAAAUACUACUGACUGACCGAUAGUGAACCAGUACCGUGAGGGAAAGGCGAAAAGAACCCCUGUGAGGGGAGUGAAAUAGAACCUGAAACCGUGUACGUACAAGCAGUAGGAGCAGGCUUUGUCCUGUGACUGCGUACCUUUUGUAUAAUGGGUCAGCGACUUAUAUUCAGUGGCAAGGUUAACCAUCUAGGGGAGCCGUAGGGAAACCGAGUCUUAACUGGGCGUUCAGUCUCUGGAUAUAGACCCGAAACCAGGUGAUCUAGCCAUGGGCAGGUUGAAGGUUGAGUAACAUCAACUGGAGGACCGAACCGACUAAUGUUGAAAAAUUAGCGGAUGACUUGUGGCUAGGGGUGAAAGGCCAAUCAAACCUGGAGAUAGCUGGUUCUCCCCGAAAGCUAUUUAGGUAGCGCCUCGGACGAAUACUACUGGGGGUAGAGCACUGUUAAGGCUAGGGGGUCAUCCCGACUUACCAACCCUUUGCAAACUCCGAAUACCAGUAAGUACUAUCCGGGAGACACACGGCGGGUGCUAACGUCCGUCGUGGAGAGGGAAACAACCCAGACCGCCAGCUAAGGUCCCAAAUUACUACUAAGUGGGAAACGAUGUGGGAAGGCUCAGACAGCCAGGAUGUUGGCUUAGAAGCAGCCAUCAUUUAAAGAAAGCGUAAUAGCUCACUGGUCGAGUCGGCCUGCGCGGAAGAUGUAACGGGGCUAAGUAGUAAACCGAAGCUGCGGCAAUGUGCUUUUGCACAUUGGGUAGGGGAGCGUUCUGUAAGCGGUUGAAGGUGUGUGGUAACGCAUGCUGGACGUAUCAGAAGUGCGAAUGCUGACAUGAGUAACGAUAAAGGGGGUGAAAAACCUCCUCGCCGGAAGACCAAGGGUUCCUGUCCAACGUUAAUCGGGGCAGGGUAAGUCGACCCCUAAGGCGAGGCCGAAAGGCGUAGUCGAUGGGAAACGGGUUAAUAUUCCCGUACUUCUUACAAUUGCGAUGGGGGACGGAGAAGGCUAGGUGGGCCUGGCGACGGUUGUCCAGGUUCAAGUGCGUAGGCUUAAGAGUUAGGUAAAUCCGGCUCUUUUUAAGGCUGAGACACGACGUCGAGCACCUACGGGUGUGAAGUCAUUGAUGCCAUGCUUCCAGGAAAAGCCUCUAAGCUUCAGAUUGUAAGGAAUCGUACCCCAAACCGACACAGGUGGUCGGGUAGAGAAUACCAAGGCGCUUGAGAGAACUCGGGUGAAGGAACUAGGCAAAAUGGUACCGUAACUUCGGGAGAAGGUACGCUCUUGACGGUGAAGUCCCUCGCGGAUGGAGCUAUUGAGAGUCGCAGAUACCAGGUGGCUGCAACUGUUUAUUAAAAACACAGCACUGUGCAAAAUCGUAAGAUGACGUAUACGGUGUGACGCCUGCCCGGUGCCGGAAGGUUAAUUGAUGGGGUUAGACUUCGGUCGAAGCUCUUGAUCGAAGCCCCGGUAAACGGCGGCCGUAACUAUAACGGUCCUAAGGUAGCGAAAUUCCUUGUCGGGUAAGUUCCGACCUGCACGAAUGGCGUAAUGAUGGCCACGCUGUCUCCACCCGAGACUCAGUGAAAUUGAAAUCGCUGUGAAGAUGCAGUGUACCCGCGGCUAGACGGAAAGACCCCGUGAACCUUUACUACAGCUUGGCACUGAACAUUGACCCUACAUGUGUAGGAUAGGUGGGAGGCUUUGAAGCACGUACGCCAGUAUGUGUGGAGCCGUCCUUGAAAUACCACCCUUGUAGUGUUGAUGUUCUAACGUCGACCCCUUAUCGGGGUUGCGGACAGUGCCUGGUGGGUAGUUUGACUGGGGCGGUCUCCUCCCAAAGAGUAACGGAGGAGCACGAAGGUGGGCUAAUCACGGUUGGACAUCGUGAGGUUAGUGCAAUGGCAUAAGCCCGCUUGACUGCGAGAAUGACAAUUCGAGCAGGUGCGAAAGCAGGUCAUAGUGAUCCGGUGGUUCUGAAUGGAAGGGCCAUCGCUCAACGGAUAAAAGGUACUCCGGGGAUAACAGGCUGAUACCGCCCAAGAGUUCAUAUCGACGGCGGUGUUUGGCACCUCGAUGUCGGCUCAUCACAUCCUGGGGCUGAAGUCGGUCCCAAGGGUAUGGCUGUUCGCCAUUUAAAGUGGUACGCGAGCUGGGUUUAGAACGUCGUGAGACAGUUCGGUCCCUAUCUGCCGUGGGCGUUGGAAGAUUGAAGGGGGCUGCUCCUAGUACGAGAGGACCGGAGUGGACGAACCUCUGGUGUUCGGGUUGUGUCGCCAGACGCAUUGCCCGGUAGCUAAGUUCGGAAUCGAUAACCGCUGAAAGCAUCUAAGCGGGAAGCGAGCCCUGAGAUGAGUCUUCCCUGAUACUUUAAGUAUCCUAAAGGGUUGUCGGAGACUACGACGUUGAUAGGUCAGGUGUGUAAGUGCUGUGAGGCAUUGAGCUAACUGAUACUAAUUGCCCGUGAGGCUUAACCAUACAACACCCAAGGGGUUU